Long non-coding RNA from Planococcus citri (citrus mealybug), 7443 nucleotides. RefSeq lists it as uncharacterized. Lineage: Eukaryota; Metazoa; Arthropoda; Insecta; Hemiptera; Pseudococcidae. The transcript is spliced from 2 exons. The record is from RefSeq and is a predicted model, not a curated record.
CUGGAGGGCUGAAAAAAAUUUUUGUGUUUACUGUUAUCAAAAAAUUAUGCGAAUUCAUGAAUUUUUUUAGAAAUUAGCAUAUUAUGAGAAAUAAAUGUGAGAAAUUAAUCUAAAACUGAGUGAAUGUGAUGUAAUAUAGUCUACUAAUGUGUAUAAAAGACAUUUUGAGACCAAUUAAUAAAUUAUCAGCAUGUAGUGACCACUUUUGUAGCUGUGGUCACAUAUGACCAUCCAUGCAUUUAAGGGUUAAGGUAAAAGUAGUCACAAGAAAUGUAUUUUUUGUUAGUGUCUAAUCAUAAAUGAAAAAUAAUAAAGUCUGUUUUUCUAAAUCGCCCUUUUCGUAAUGUCAUGUCUGGUUAAGCAUCUAUUAUAAAUAAUAUGGUAAACUCUUUCUAUCUAACUCUGGUCUAAAUUCUUUACAGCAUCUGUUCUCGGUUGGCUAUAAAUAGCAAUGGCAAAGUGCCUAGGAGUGACAAAGUGCCUUAUACCCUCAAACUUCUGCGACUCUACGUUUUGGUAUCCAACAUACGACAUAUCAGCACAUCUGUAAUGUGUUCGUUUGGUUUAGUAUACUCGCAGUAACUCAUCUGGAGCACAUCAUGUGAUUACAGUUCUUUUCUUUACUCCGGUAUAUUCUGAAUGAAUUUCAUCAUUACGAUCGAACAACACAGAAAAGUCAGAUUCAGGUUAUACACGUAUGAUGGCUGGAAUCAAGCUAGUUGUUGAGGAAAUGGGUGAUAUGAUCGAUACAAUAUUCCAAUAAUAGUAAUUUUAAGGCAUUUCUGACUAUUUUAAGCAUACCGUACCUAUAUAAUGAACUUUGAGUUAUAUUUACUUACUUAAAAUGUAGAUCGACAGCGUCAACUCUUUAUUAUUACUGUUUCUAAAAGAAAAUUUCAUGUAUGUGGCAACAACAUUUUUAGAAAAACAUUUUUUUUUCAAGAGUUUUACAACUAUGAGCUAACAUACCUAUCUUUUUUUCUAUCGCUCGAAUAACUUUCAAAAUUUUUCCAUUUUGUACUUGAAGACGAAUUUAACGUAGAUAAUUUACCUCGCCUCAAACACCUACGUCGGCUAUACGUCCUCGUCCUCACCCAAAAUUUCAAGUAAAGAGUCAAUUUAAUGUAAAAAAUCAUCUUUUAAAUCAUAGAGUCAAUUAUUUAAUGUAAACAAUCAUCUUUAAAAUCAUAAAUUGCACAAUCAACUUUGAAAGUCGAAUAUCUGCGUGAAUAUUAUUAAACGAGGUUCGAAGCUCGCCGACUGGAGGUUCAUACACCGAGCCAGACCGGAUCUAUUGCCAUUGAACGGGGCUAAAAGAUGGAUGCUCAAUGGCGGGGCACUCGACAAGAGAUGCCGGAGAUGUGGGUGCGCGGUGAAGACCCUGCCCCUCGUCCUCAUCUGUCAGUGACCAGCAGUACUCGGAAGUCGGAGGCCUGGAAACGCAGACACGAUCACGCUGUGCUUGACAGACUCGCCGUGGCAAAAAAUGACAAGGAUUGGGGAAUCAUAAGCCCACCUUAACUGUAGGUACCCAUAACCCUUUAUUCAUCUUUCAACUUUUGCCAAAACCAUAACCCUAAAUUAUCAAUGUGAAAAAAAGUGCUUACUAGUACAGACAUGUAUAUUAAUAAAACCAAAUUUGUGAUCGUAUUUGAUAGGUAUUAAGAGACAAUAAGUUUCUCUUCGAACUGAAUACUUUUUCGGAUAUAAAAAAGAAAAACAACCUGCAUUAAGUUUGGCCAAUUGAUACAAUAUUCAUAUGAUUUAUGAAAAGUUUUCUUUUCUUUUUUGGAUGGCGAUAUGUACGCGAUUAAUGCAAAAAAUAAAUUUAAAAUUUUUAAAUAAAAAUUUAAUUGAAAAAAAAAUUUAAAAUUAUUAAUUUAAAAAAAAAUUCAAAAAAUUGAUUUAAUUUUUCAGUUAAACAAAAAAGAAAUAUUAUUUUUUAUCAAAAAAAAUUAAAAUUAGAUUAGAAUUGUGGUAUUAUUUACAACUUGUUUAAAAGUUAAAAGGUUGAAAGUUAAAACACUUGUUUAAAACAAGGAAAACGUUUAAAACGUUUUUGUUUAAAACAGUUUCCUUGUUUUAAAUUAAAGUGUGAAAUUUCGAUUUUUUGGCUGUACUUACACUGUUUCAUACAGUGUUUCAUACAAGCAUUAUUUGAAAAUUUUGGGUCCACAUCCCUACUUAAAAAGGGUUGCAAAUAAAGUAUUGAUAAUCCUAAUGAAAUUAUAAACACGACCAACGAUCCAAUUCGCCAAUUUUCACGUUUGUUAUCCUUUUGAAAGAUGUUUUCGUCCUGGUUAGGACUUGUAUCAGCAUCAGUGUAUUUUUUAAUUUUUUUUACUGAUUUUGAGGUUUUUUUGUUAUAUCUUUUCCCCUGAAACAAAAUCAACAAAACAUUUUUAGCCAAAUUUUUGUAAAAAAUGAUGGCUAUUGCAGUAGGCCGAACUAUGGAUAAAAAGGUCGGGGGGGGGUCAAAAAUUUUGAUAGUUCUCGACGUUUUGAGCUCAAAUUGGACGAUUCCUGGUGUGUCAGUUUUUAUGUAUCCAGGGGCACGCUAGUGUCCCACCCCGCCCUCCACCUCCGAGAGCAACGCAAAACGAAAAUAAUCUCCUCACACCCCAUCCCUCUUGCCCACAAUAUUUUUCAGGAAAAGAAUCAUACUUCAAUGAGUUCCAAACAAAAAAAAUUUGAAUUCACCCAAAAUGUGUGGAGAAACAUGAGUCUAGCUACAUGAAUUUUUUCAAAAAUUUUUCAGCUUCACCUUGGGGGUGGGGAGUGGUGGAUAUUGAUGAAAGAGAAUUCGAAAUCACCAUUCAUCUCCAAACCUAAUUCUGGUACACUAAAUAUUGUUUCUUUCAAAAAUAUAUCUGCGUUAGUACUAUAGAAAUUGGAAUUGUUUUCAAAUUUUUCCUCCUGGUGGUGGGUCAUGUUAUUAAAACUUGAAAAACACUCAAAAAUGUGGUUUUUUUUGCCAGUAAUAUAAAUAAUUCUGCAAUUUUGCGUUGAAAAUUCAAUUUUGAGUCCAUAGGCAUUCCCUUCCUCAAUUUUAGGCCGAAAGUAGAUUAACAAUUUGGUUUUCGUUGUUGAGAAAGUCUUCAUUGUCUUCUUCUAACACGGUUUUUUUUUUUUAUUAGGGUGUUUUUGGCAUCUGUAACAAAUUAUCAACAAAAUGUUUGUUAACAUAAGUAUAUUUAAAAUUGAAUUUAUUUCAUGCAUUGGAGGUAUAGACACCGGACCUACUGAAUAAUAUCGAACUAUCAUGUGUUAAAUCCAUUCUAUACCAUGUUACCCAGAGUUCAACGGGUACCCAGAUUGUUGAAUCCGCAGGUUAGACCCGGAAAUGAACUGGUUACCCAGUUCUGGGACUGGGGUAGUGGAAACCUGUGGGAAAUGUGACGUUUCCACUUGAAAGUUACAUUUUUGGGCAAUUUUUUUUUCAUCUUUAUAGAGCAAUCUGUUGGGAAAUUCCACUUAUGUAGAAAAUCAUACUCGAAUUAAUCGUACAUGAUUGUUGAACAAAAAAAUAACAACUUUUUAUUUUAUCAAAAAAUAAUAAAAAUAAAUAGUAAGUUCGUUGAACUUACGAGAAAAGCGAAGUACGCUCGCGAUACAAUAUAAACUUUGAAAGUUACAUGAUGACAAAAUACAAAUGAAUGACUAGAAUAAUUUUUAAAACGUAACAUAACAAUGUUUCAAUAAAUUCAAAACAACAAAUAACCAUUUAUAUUUCUGAAACUACACCAAUAACGCUGCCAGUUAUUUUUAUCUAAUUUUAUUUUAUUUUAUUUUAAAAAACAAAUCUAAAUUUUGAUAGGAAAAUUAAAAAACGAGUUUUUCAUUUUUCCAACACAAUCCUAGCAAAAUUUAUAUGAAAUAGGUACUAAAAAUAACGUCAUUUACUUACGUAAAUCCUACUACUUGGAUGGUUAAUUGGACAUUCAGGCUUCAAGGAAAUUAUUGGGGCUUUUUCGCCCUCAUCGCUGGAUGGUAUUUUUUUAUGCAAGUACAUACAAUAAUGUAUAAGUAACAUUAGAGAUAACUGAAUAUAAUCAACACAAGAGGUAUUAAGGGGACAAUUUCUUCUGGUGGAUGUUUAUAACCUUUUGAUAUCGACAUUCACUCAGAUGGUAAAAGUACAUAUAAAUCAAUAAUUGAUAAAAUAUCAUCAUUGGCGAAAACUUAUGAGAAAACUGGUAAAACAAACAAUCUCACUCCUUGCACUCUUAUUCACUCCGACUCCUACUCCACUCUUGACUUUUAGAUAAUUGCAACACUGGUAAGUAUCACCUAUUGUAAAGCUCUUUAAUACAAGUAUGGAAAUAGAUUAUGCUCUUAAGAAAGUCAUAGCAUUUUACGUAUGUGUUACAUACUGCGCAUGGCAGGUUGGUGUCGUGACACGGUGGAGCAACCAUUGGGGUGCAACAUUGUACGUGAACAGCUGAUUUGAUGCGUGCUCGCGCACUGCGCAGUACGUAAAACUUACGUGAAAUCCUAUGACUUUCUUAAGAGUAUAAUCUAUUUCCAUACUUGUAUUAAAGAGCUUUAACCUAUUGUACCAUGUAUGUGUACUUACCCCCCCCCCAAUUCAUCUAAAAAUGUAAAAAAAGUUGUUGGGCAGUGAGGAACUCAAAAGGGCUUAUCCCUCAAAAUGACAAAUUGACAAAGACAAUACCUACUUACCGACUUGAAAUCAAGAACUGGUGGUGCAUAGUACUGUUUUGUCCAUCCUCCUCCAAAAAAGAAAAAAAAAUUCUUACUAUUCUACAUAUAUACCUAACAAACUGAUGCAAUAUGAGACGUACUACAUACUAGAACUAUUAUACUGUUACAUUUUUACGAAAAAUCUCAAAAGCCAUUGCUUAAGAAAUGGAUAAUCUUAUAAAUUUUUAUUCUGCAUAGAAUACAUGUGUAGAAUAAGUAAGAGGUAAGUAAGUAUAGGUACAUAGAAUAAAUUUUUAAAAAAUUUUCACCGUUAUAAUGCUUAAAUCCUUCAAAAAUGUUCAUUAGAGUUUGGGAAAAACUAUAAGAAAGAACCGGAAUUUUUCAUUUACACUUCUAACAAACUAACCAUUACAUUAUUUUGGUUGGAAAUUUAAACACGUAUUUGAAUUCCUCGGGUGAUUUCACCCAAUUUUGAUCGGUCACCUGACACUUGCUCAAUUAUCACAAGACUCAAAAUCUUGACUCAAUUUUGAGCUCAAAAUUCUCUAAAAUGUUCAAAUUCAAAACAUGUUUUGAUCAGAAUAAUUUAAAUUCCUCGUGUAAUUUUGACCCAUUUUGAUAGGUUUGCAUUGCAUGACUUUUUCAAUUAUAUCUAUCUCAAAAUCAUGAUUCAAUUAUAUAAAUACAUUCAUUUGUUGCAAAAUUGGAAUUUCGAUAGGUUGCAAGGUCACUUUGUUCAUUUCUUAUGCAUUCCUGGAGAAAAGUAAAUUGUUGAACCCUAAAUAAUAGAUUGUUGGAAAUUUUAUUCUCUACAACUUCGGUUCAAUGCAUUUUUCACUUAGAACACUUCGUUUCACCUCCAAAUUGAUCUCAAAAUUGAACAUGAGUGAAAAUCAAUCAUUAAAAAAAUUGAUUGUUUGGUAUUUUUUUUGAGGUGAGGUAUCUCACAUUAGAGCUUUUUUUUUCAACGAGUUUGGAAUACAAAAUACAGAUUAAUAAUGGUUCCAUCAGAUUCUGUGUUUGAAGUUUACACAAAAAUCAAUCAUAAAAGAAAAAUUGAUUUUUUAGUCCUGUGUCCACUUUUUGAAUGAGUUGUCACAAUAUUUUCAUUUUCAAUGGCACCCAUGCAAAACCCAGAAUGAACCAAAAAGGGAAUGUGGAAACUUGUCAAUAGUCAAGAACUGCAACAUGAGCUGAUGGGUAAAAAAAGUUGAAUUUUCAAAGCGGCAGAAUGCAUCCUCAAGAAUCAGUUGAUGUCAAAGUCAAACUCUAAAAUGGGCUCUAAAAGGGAGGUUCAAAUUGAAAAGUUUCAAAAACAUAUCAUGGGUAUCAAAAUAUGUGUUUUUAAAGGGCGCAUAAUACAUCUUUGAAUUUGAAGACCAUUUGGCUGAUUCAACUACAAGGCUCAAAGGGAUACUUUGUAUCCUCAUAUACCAGAUAUCAGAACAUCAGUGAUGCGUAGAAUCGUUAUUAUUUUUUUUGGAUAUAGAGGAUUCGCCUUAAGGUAUCAAAGUGCCAGCUGUAUACAGGAAUGUUCUGGUGUAUUUUUAACCCAUAUACACACUCGUAUAAUUAAUUCUUGACUUUAUCACUUUUCAGAAAAAUGAAUUCGCAUAUAUACCUAAUGAAAUUUUAGUUUUUUGAGAAUUACCUACUCAAAAACUAAGCACUCUAGAAAAAAACUAACGACAUUAUGUUGAUUGGAAAUUUAAUUCUCUAUAACUUUGUUAUCAUGCAAUUUUUUUGGAUGCUUCCUUUUGCCUCCACAUCAACUUUAAUGAGAGGUUAUAACUCAAAAUGUUUUCCUAACAUUGAAAUAUUUUCUCUUUAGAAUUUUAUUUUUUAAAGUAUUCUUAUGCUAUUAAAUGAAGGUAAGAUACCCAAUUUUUAAAAUGAGAUGCUAUGAUUCCUUCACAAUUAAUUAUAAGUUGCUGAAAAUAAUGUAUCAAGUUUUAAAAAAAAAGAAAAUCGCUCUCCUGUAAAAUUUCACUUUUUUGAGAUGUAACCUUAUUACUCCCAAGGUGCGAUUUCUAAAAAUCUAAAACUACUUACUUGUAUAGUAAUAUGUACUAAUAUACUUAUUCAUUUCCACAUUCACUUUUUUCAUAUCAAUUUUUUGACAUUGAAUGCAAGUUAUGCCAAAAGUCAUAAUAAGUAAUUUUGUUCAUUUUUCAAAGUAUUGCCGACCCUAUGGUCAAAAUCGGAUCUUAGCUCUGCCAACAGCUCACCUCGCUAGCUAUACCAGUUGUUGUACGCAUUCCUCCUCACGCUUUUGACUUCUUGCUGCCCAGUGGAAUACCUUGGUGAUCAAGAAUUACAAAUUUGAAUUUAUGCUGCGGAUACGCUUUCUAAGGACGCUUGGAACUUAUCCCAUUCAUCAUGGACCAACACAUCGAGUCAUGCCUUACGCGUUCUUAUAUCUCCACCGUAUCGUAGGAUAUAAGUCAUGAAGGAUCAUAAAUGAGGAACCGUGGAAUGUAACUAGCACUCGGGCGUCGGGGUUAAAAGCUCGUCAGUAGACACGGCACUCCAGAGAACGCGAUGUCCUUAACUAAGACCCCAACCGGGGGUUGUAUAUGAGCUUUUCGGUUUUGGGCUCAAUAUGCAACUAAAAACGUUGAAAGCCUGCCAUCACAUUACGCAUUCGAUUUAUUACGUUUUCUACUAGAAGUUUAUAAUUAUCAUUUAGUUAUAGAAGACUCAUUCAUGUAUACAAUUUGAGCAACCUGUGAUAUUACGUGUUUACACAAUCAAUACAUGAAUUUAUCAUUUGGCUAA